Molecule: unclassified non-coding RNA, 648 nt
Filed under: uncultured Prochlorococcus sp.
Lineage: Bacteria; Bacillati; Cyanobacteriota; Cyanophyceae; Synechococcales; Prochlorococcaceae
Description: partial 16S-23S ribosomal RNA intergenic spacer; may also contain 16S ribosomal RNA and 23S ribosomal RNA
Rfam family: tRNA (bases 307-379)
Source: RNAcentral
UUGUGGAGGAGGACGCCGAAGGUGGGGCUAAUGACUGGGGUGAAGUCGUAACAAGGUAGCCGUACCGGAAGGUGCGGCUGGAUCACCUCCUAACAGGGAGACAACAAAAUGUUUAAUAAUUAUUAUUUUGUCACCUUAGGUCGAUCGGUAUCUCACGUUUUUAAUUUAUUAAGAAUUUCAUUUCCUAAGUUUUUUCUAGGUCACACCCAUUAUUUUUCCUGGGCCAUUAGCUCAGGUGGUUAGAGCGCACCCCUGAUAAGGGUGAGGUCCCUGGUUCAAGUCCAGGAUGGCCCAUAUCUCUAUGUUGGGGGUAUAGCUCAGUUGGUAGAGCGCCUGCUUUGCAAGCAGGAUGUCAGCGGUUCGAGUCCGCUUACCUCCACUGAUUACCACCUCUUUCAUAAUCUAUGAGAAGGAAAUGUUUUGAGUAGUGAUCAUAUUCUGAACGAAGCUAGCUUCCUAAUGAAAUCAUUAAGAUGCUGGACUCAUUGAAUUAAUUUCAUUGUUUUCAGAGAACCUUGACAACUGCAUAGAUUAUUUUUAAAGACAAUAAGCAUCUUUAAUGAUGCAGAUUUAUUAUUUGUGCUAAUGCAUUAAUAACAAUUCUAUUAAGCUGAUGCUUCAAUUUUGAAGUUAUUGGUCAAGCUACAA